Drosophila busckii is the source of this 623-nucleotide long non-coding RNA. RefSeq lists it as uncharacterized. Lineage: Eukaryota; Metazoa; Arthropoda; Insecta; Diptera; Drosophilidae. The transcript has 3 exons. The record is from RefSeq and is a predicted model, not a curated record.
ACAUGCCCUUGGGGCAGCCUAAAUAAAAUCAUUCUGGCUCUCGAAAUUCUAGUGAAUACAUCUAAAUAUAUAAUUCAAAUUGUCCUGAUGUGGUGAUUGCAUAAUCUCCUGGCUCUCCAUUGCUUGCCAAAUCAAAACGAUUUUAUACGUGGAUUUUGUAGCUGAGUCAACCAACUCGCCUUGGCUGCUGACAUGUUAACAGAGAUGUGCAGCAUCUGUGGAUUCUCGACAGACUGUCGAACAACGCCAGAUCCAUUGGGCAACUUUUAGACUAUUGCGGCCUUAAGCAUAUAGUCCAAUGCUUGAAAUUGUUACGUUAUUAACGUAGUAACGUAACAAUUGCAAGCAUUGCAAGUGUUCAAAUAAAAAGCUACAAGCUGCUCUCAGCUUUGAUCUGUUGCUUGCUAGCGCACAAGGAAGUGUUUAGCCUCUGAGCGCCUGUGAAUGUUGCUGUUGUUAUUGGCUGGAUGGAUGUUUGAUCGCUCUCUAAGCCCACCAGCCAUAAGUGCCCCGCUCAGUUCAGCAUGCAGUUGCUCCCACUUUGGUCAUCUGAGCUCGGCCAAACGCAGUUGCUAAAUCGAAGCAAAACGCACAUAUUUGAAAGCCAAAAUACAUUUUGAUAA